AGAUUGAACGCUGGCGGCAUGCCUUACACAUGCAAGUCGAACGGUAGAGUAGCAAUACUUGAGAGUGGCGAACGGGUGAGUAAUAUAUCGGAACGUGCCCAGUCGUGGGGGGAUAACGUAGAGAAAUUUACGCUAAUACCGCAUACGAUCUAAGGAUGAAAGCGGGGGACCGUAAGGCCUCGCGCGAUUGGAGCGGCUGAUAUCAGAUUAGGUUGUUGGUGAGGUAAAAGCUCACCAAGCCGACGAUCUGUGGCUGGUUUGAGAGAACGACCAGCCACACUGGGACUGAGACACGGCCCAGACUCCUACGGGAGGCAGCAGUGGGGAAUUUGGACAAUGGGCGAAAGCCUGAUCCAGCAAUGCCGCGUGCAGGAAGAAGGCCUUCGGGUUGUAAACUGCUUUUGUACGGAACGAAACGGUCUGUCUUUAAUACAGUGGCUAAUGACGGUACCGUAAGAAUAAGCACCGGACUAACUACGUGCCAGCAGCCGCGGUAA
RNAcentral lists this ribosomal RNA (497 nucleotides) under uncultured soil bacterium. Its description in RNAcentral is "bacterial SSU rRNA". It matches the Rfam family "Bacterial small subunit ribosomal RNA", at positions 26 to 523 of the family's 1533-position model. The record is from RNAcentral.